AGAAGGAAGGAGAAACAUAGGCACACAACCGCUACUCAGCUACAGGAACCAGGCUGGUGAACUCGGGGGCUUCCUGGGAGAAGCAAAUUGGGGAUAAUCUGGAGAUGGAGAGGGAGGUGCUUCUAAGUAGAGGGAGUGUCUGACACUGAAGGCGGGACCAGCCAAAGCACCCAGGUGGUGGGAAAAGCUGGGGCUAAAGAAAUAGUAGUUUCUCACCCCUACUGCCAAAAAUAAAGUAUGUAUAUUCAUUGUGAAAACUUUGGGAAAUAAGAAAGCAUGCAGAUAACAAAGUUGCCCAUAUAUUAUCCAAAGAUAAAAAUCUCUUGAUAUUGUGGUGGUUAUAUACUGAUGUCUUGGGGUGUUGUUUGUAUACUUAUCUGAGGCUUAAAAUUAAGAAUUAAAAAAAAAACAACAACCCUGUCAUCUUUAAUAGAACUGUUCUAACAGUUCUCAUGGCGGAAGUAUAGUCUUUAAUAGCUACAUACUCUUCCAUCAAAUGGCUGUUUGUUCUAGUGCUUACGGUUGGAUAUUUUUGUUGGGUUCAAGUUUUUUCUUUUCUUUUUAUAUAAUUCUUCAGCACAGACUCCCAGAGUGUGUUCAGUUUGGAGGCAGUUGAUAGUUGUUGCCAGAUCGUGUUCUGGAAACGCUGCACUCCGUCAGCAGUGGGAAGCCGUCUAAGGUCACACACUUUUCUCAUCUCCAGGUUCUACGUCCUGGUUUUUGUAGCUGUUUUGGAGAUUGUAGAAGGAUGCUUCUUGAGUGAGGUACCCCACAGAGGUUUAAGAGUGUAUUUGUGGUCUCAAAGAACUGAGGUAACCUCAUUCAUUGGAAGCUUGCAGAUAAUUGAAAAUGUGUAUUUUAGAUUGCAUUUGAUCCUUCCACUGUCGACCAGAAUCUGUACAAAGGGAGCUAGGGUGACUGGCAUCUCACCCCACCCUCUUGUGACCCCUUCUUCUGAGAGUUGGGUGGGCUGUUGAGGACACCCUACUGCAGAGGGUAGAAGAAAGUAGGGUGCUGCACUCAAUGUCCUGCCCUGAUUCAGUGCCACCCAGUGCUGCUGUGAGGUGGUGACUUGCACAGCUUGUAUAAAUGCUGAAACUGACCAGACAGCUGUAGCAGAGAGAGUGGAGUAGCCUGCAGGGAUCUCAGCUCUCACUCAGCUCCUCUCUUCUCUUCCCUGGAAUCUAAUCCUGCCCCUGCCACACUCCAGGCCCCUUGCUCCGAACCCUAUCCGUUUGGCCUUUCAGCAUUGGGAUUGAAACAAAGUCAUUUCUGGCUCCAGAAGGUCCCUGCUCACUUAAUUCCCAUGUCUCUAAAAAUAUCUGAACCACUUCCUGUCCAGUCUCCUCCCUUAGAAUAUGAUUCUUCCCUACCCCUCAACUUAGGGCAAGAAAUAAGAUCUCCCUCUCAUUGCUCUCUCCAGGCUCAGAAUGGAAUAAAUAAGAAAUGGCUGAGUUUCCACAGUUAAAAGGGGGGAACUGCCUUUGUUCCAUCUAGAGGACUACCAUUGCACCUAGGUCCAGGUCUACACUGGAGGGCCCUGCCUCCUGCUCCAAGAUGGGAUUCAAGGAGGAAGAAAGAGGGGGGCAAGUACGCGGACCCCUUUCGUCCUUCUGUGUGUUGGGUGGCAGGGAGCCUGCUGGUGAGUCUUGGUGUGGGAGUAAGGUUGGGCUCUUGGGCCCCUCGCUGUGAGCCUGCCUGUUCAGCACAGACCAAAAGGGAGACUGUGGGAAGUCUCCAGCCGCCUAGCAGCUUGAGGCUUCCAGAGCUU
Molecule: long non-coding RNA, 1771 nt
Organism: Phyllostomus discolor (pale spear-nosed bat)
Lineage: Eukaryota; Metazoa; Chordata; Mammalia; Chiroptera; Phyllostomidae
Exons: 2
Source: RefSeq, a predicted model, not a curated record